GAAAGCCUGACGGAGCAACGCCGCGUGAGGGAUGAAGGCCUUUGGGCUGUAAACCUCUUUUCUCAAGGAAGAAGAUCUGACGGUACUUGAGGAAUAAGCCACGGCUAAUUCCGUGCCAGCAGCCGCGGUAAUACGGGAGUGGCAAGCGUUAUCCGGAAUUAUUGGGCGUAAAGCGUCCGCAGGCGGCCGUUUAAGUCUGUUGUUAAAUCGUGGAGCUCAACUCCAUCACGGCAAUGGAAACUGUUCGGCUUGAGUAUGGUAGGGGCAGAGGGAAUUUCCGGUGUAGCGGUGAAAUGCGUAGAUAUCGGGAAGAACACCAGUGGCAAAAGCGCUCUGCUGGGCCAUUACUGACGCUCAUGGACGAAAGCCAGGGGAGCGAAAGGGAUUAGAUACCCCUGUAGUCCUGGCCGUAAACGAUGAACACUAGAUGUUGGGGGAAUCGACCCCCUCGGUGUCGUAGCUAACGCGUUAAGUGUUCCGCCUGGGGAGUACGCACGCAAGUGUGAAACUCAAAGGAAUUGACGGGGGCCCGCACAAGCGGUGGAGUAUGUGGUUUAAUUCGAUGCAACGCGAAGAACCUACCAAGGCUUGACAUCCUGUGAAUCUCUAAGAAAUUAGAGAGUGCCUUCGGGAACGCAGUGACAGGUGGUGCAUGGCUGUCGUCAGCUCGUGUCGUGAGAUGUUGGGUUAAGUCCCGCAACGAGCGCAACCCAUGUUUUUAGUUGCCAGCAUUCAGUUGGGCACUCUAGAAAGACUGCCGGUGACAAACCGGAGGAAGGUGUGGACGACGUCAAGUCAUCAUGCCCCUUACGCCUUGGGCUACACACGUACUACAAUGCUGCGGACAAAGAGUAGCGAUCUUGCGAAAGUUAGCUAAUCUCGUAAACCGCGGCUCAGUUCAGAUCGUAGGCUGCAACUCGCCUACGUGAAGGAGGAAUCGCUAGUAAUCGCAGGUCAGCAUACUGCGGUGAAUACGUUCCCGGGCCUUGUACACACCGCCCGUCACACCAUGGAAGUUGGCC
RNAcentral lists this ribosomal RNA (1022 nucleotides) under uncultured cyanobacterium. RNAcentral's name for it is "bacterial SSU rRNA". It matches the Rfam family "Bacterial small subunit ribosomal RNA", at positions 377 to 1416 of the family's 1533-position model. The record is from RNAcentral. Lineage: Bacteria; Bacillati; Cyanobacteriota.